Non-coding RNA from Potamilus streckersoni, 68 nucleotides. Lineage: Eukaryota; Metazoa; Mollusca; Bivalvia; Unionida; Unionidae. The record is from the annotation of a GenBank genome assembly.
GCAAAGUCUAGUGGUUAGAGUGUCCGCUUCGGAUGCAGAGGUCGCGGGUUCGAAUCCCGGUAGAAUCA